GAAUCUUGCGCAAUGGGCGAAAGCCUGACGCAGCGACGCCGCGUGUGGGAUGACGGCCUUCGGGUUGUAAACCACUGUCGGGAGGGACGAAGGUCUGACGGUACCUCCAAAGGAAGCACCGGCUAACUCUGUGCCAGCCGCCGCGGUAAUACAGAGGGUGCGAGCGUUUCCCGGAAUUACUGGGCGUAAAGGGCGCGUAGGCGGUCCGGUAAGUCGGGGGUGAAAUGCUGCGGCUCAACCGUAGCACGGCCUUCGAGACUGUCGGGCUGGAGCAUGGUAGAGGCUGGCGGAAUUCCUGGUGUAGCGGUGGAAUGCGUAGAGAUCAGGAAGAACACCGGUGGCGAAGGCGGCCAGCUGGGCCAUUGCUGACGCUGAGGCGCGACAGCGUGGGGAGCAAACAGG
This 402-nucleotide ribosomal RNA is filed under the name uncultured bacterium. Its description in RNAcentral is "bacterial SSU rRNA". It matches the Rfam family "Bacterial small subunit ribosomal RNA", at positions 359 to 776 of the family's 1533-position model. The record is from RNAcentral.